UGGUUCUGGCAUNGAUGAAGAACGCAGCGAAAUGCGAUAAGUAAUGUGAAUUGCAGAAUUCCGUGAAUCAUCGAAUCUUUGAACGCAUAUUGCGCCCUUUGGUAUUCCGAGGGGCAUGCCUGUUCGAGCGUUAUUUUCAUUCUCAAGUAUUUGCUUGGUGUUGGAGAUUGCCCCGGCGGGGCACCUCCGAAACAUAGCGGCGACGUAGCCGGCUUCCCUGGCGUAGUGACUAUUUUCCACCGCCCCGGAGCUGUCGGUCGUGCGUUAGCCGGACAACACCCCCUUUCUUGAAUCGACCUCGGAUCAGGCAGGACUACCCGCUGA
Molecule: unclassified non-coding RNA, 324 nt
Filed under: uncultured fungus
Lineage: Eukaryota; Fungi
Description: partial contains 5.8S ribosomal RNA and internal transcribed spacer 2
Rfam family: 5.8S ribosomal RNA (bases 1-133)
Source: RNAcentral